AUUGAACGCUGGCGGCAGGCCUAACACAUGCAAGUCGAGCGGAUGAAUGGAGAGUGCUCCUGGAUUCAGCUGGCGACGGGCGGGUGAGUCCUAGGUAUCUGCCUUGCAGUUGGGGCUAAGGUCCGUACGCGGGCGCUAAUACCGCAUACGUCCAUAGGGAGAAAGGGGGGGAUCUUCGGACCUACAGCUAUUAGGUGAGCCUAGGACGGAUUAGCUAGUUGGUUGGGUAAAGGGGUACCAAGGCGACGAUCCGAAGCUGGUCUGAGAGGAUGAUCAGCCACACUGGAACUGAGACACGGUCCAGACUCCUACGGGAGGCAGCAGUGGGGAAUAUUGGACAAUGGGCGAAAGCCUGAUCCAGCCAUGCCGCGUGAGUGAAGAAGGUCUUCGGAUUGUAAAGCACUUUUAUUUGGGAAGAAGAGCAGUAGGUUAAUACCUCGCUGUUUUGACGGUACCAAAAGAAUAAGCACCGGCUAACUUCGUG
This 484-nucleotide ribosomal RNA is filed under the name uncultured bacterium. RNAcentral's name for it is "partial 16S ribosomal RNA". It matches the Rfam family "Bacterial small subunit ribosomal RNA", at positions 30 to 507 of the family's 1533-position model. The record is from RNAcentral.